UACGAAGGGGGCUAGCGUUGUUCGGAAUUACUGGGCGUAAAGCGCGCGCAGGCGGCCUUGCAAGUCAGUGGUGAAAUCCCAGAGCUUAACUCCGGAAUUGCCAUUGAGACUGCGAGGCUUCGAGUACGGGAGAGGUGAGUGGAAUUCCCAGUGUAGAGGUGAAAUUCGUAGAUAUCGGGAGGAACACCUGUGGCGAAAGCGGCGCACUGGACCAUAACUGACGCUGAGGCGCGAAAGCUAGGGGAGCAAACAGG
Molecule: ribosomal RNA, 254 nt
Filed under: uncultured bacterium
Lineage: Bacteria
Description: partial 16S ribosomal RNA
Rfam family: Bacterial small subunit ribosomal RNA
Source: RNAcentral